Molecule: unclassified non-coding RNA, 253 nt
Filed under: uncultured Enterobacteriaceae bacterium
Lineage: Bacteria; Pseudomonadati; Pseudomonadota; Gammaproteobacteria; Enterobacterales; Enterobacteriaceae
Description: contains 16S-23S intergenic spacer region
Rfam family: Bacterial small subunit ribosomal RNA
Source: RNAcentral
UACGGAGGGUGCAAGCGUUAAUAGGAAUUACUGGGCGUGAAGCGCACGCAGGCGGUCUGUCAAGACGGAUGUGAAGUCCCCGGGCUCAACCUGGGUACUGCAUCCGAAACUGGCAGGCUAGAGUCUUGUAGAGGGGGGUAGGAUUCCAGGUGUAGCGGUGAAAUGCGUAGAGCUCUGGAGGAAUACCGGUGGCGAAGGCGGCCCCCUGGACAAAGACUGACGCGCAGGUGCGAAAGCGUGGGGAGCAAACAGG